UAUUUGUAUUUCCAUAUAACAUGUUGGCCAGUGUUAUAUGAAAAUUUUCGGUGCCGCAAAAGAAGUAGCACUCGAAUACAAAUUUCCUCAGCAAGGCAAUUUACUUCUAUAGAAGGGUGCGGCUCACAGAUGGAACAAUGGCAAGUGCACACCUGGACAAGGGAGGGGAAGAGGGUUCUUAUUUCUGACAGAGGUAGACCCUACUGCUGUGUUGUUCCCCUAUUGGCUAGGGUUAAACCUCACAGUUUAGGCUAAUUCUGAUUGGCUAUUUUAAAGAGAGCAGAGGUACUAGCCUGAGUGGUGGGGUGGUAGUUUGGUGGGAAGGACAGUUAUGAGACAGGUCAGAGCAGGUAACCAGGGGUCAAAGCAGGUGACCAGGGCAGGUGACCAGGAUGAGUCAGGAUGGAGCAGGGGACUGGGGGAACAGAUGUGAACUACUGAUUAGAAUUGGUGGAAAACGUUGUUUGCUGAAACUACAAGGAAGUUAAACUUUAAAAUGGAGAAUUAAAGGAUAAGAGAGCUGAAAAUACUGACAUAUUGAUUCUAUGAAGAGAAUCUUGGAGUUAACUACAUCUAAUAGCCAGUUGGGUCUUGAACUCCUGACUUCAGGUGAUCUGCCCACCUUGGCUUCCCAAAGUGCUGGGAUUACAGGCGUGAGCCACUGCACUCAGCCAACAGUGGUAAUCUUAAUAUUCAUGUUCUAACCCUGUAUUUUAAACCUUCUUUUAAAAUUUAUCUAUUUUCAUCUAGAAGCAAUCAAACUCCAAAUGGUACUGCAGACAGAAUCACACAUGGACAUGCCAUUCUUCUAAGAAUCCUUGGAUCAACAUCAGGAGGAGGCCCAACAGCUGCCCCUCACAUGACACCCCAUUUUCAGCAGGAAGUAGCCAGAAAGAAUUGUCACCCAACAUGCUCUAACAGCAGUUAGGUUUACUUCUCCAGAGAAAGCGACUUGAAAAACCAGACCGGCAAGCAUUGCUAUGCAAAUGCUGGUGGCUGGAAGCCAGUGAGCUAAAAGAGAAAUGAAUCUGCAGCAAGACUGAGAGAGAACCAGACAUGAACCCAGUAUUUGCCCCUCUAUCUCCAAACAGGUGUUCUGCAGCGUGCCUUCUGACCUGCGGCCUCCUGUGCCUUCCAGGCAGCCACAACUCCUUCCAGAGACUUCCAAGAUGUACUGCCACAGAGGCUGCGUAUCUCUGAGUUCCUCUUAGAUGCAUCCUCAGGCUCCUGCACUGUGGGCUUCACGUUGGAAGAUGAGAGGAGAAGAGAGGUGGGGCCUUGGCCUGGCUUCCUGAGAUCCCACUGUGGCUCUCUCUGGUGACUCUUCUCUUCCAUGCUGUACAGAAGCACAGUAGCUUCUGUUUCUAGGAGGCCUCAGGAGAUUUACAAUCAUGAUGGAAGGUGAAGGAGAACCAGGAAUGUCUUACACGGCCAGAGCAGGAGCAAGAGAGAGGAAGAGGGGAGCUACACACUUUUAAAACAACCAGAUCUUGUGAUAAUUCACUCACUCACUAACACAAGAACAGCACUGAGGAGAUGGUGCUAAAUCAUUCAUGAGAACUCUGCCUCUAUAAUCUAAUCACCUCUCACCAGGCCCCACCUCCAACACUGGGGAAUUUCUUUUUUGUUCCAUUGUUUUUGUUAAUCUAAUUUAUUAGUUGUCAUAGGCUAUGCUAUGCCUGAACUAUCAGUUGAUUAAUAAAAUGAAGGUCAAGUUCUCCCUCA
Non-coding RNA from Callithrix jacchus (white-tufted-ear marmoset), 1725 nucleotides. The record is from RefSeq and is a predicted model, not a curated record. NCBI's taxonomy places the organism in Eukaryota, Metazoa, Chordata, Mammalia, Primates, Cebidae.